AGUCCUCCCAGAUGUCAGACACCCAGCAGUUAUGGGCCAGGCUUUUGGAGUCUGUCUGCUUUGCCCUCUGCCAUCUCUCCUCAUGCCAUACUCACUCCAGGGGAGGUCAUCCUCAGCUGAGACUUCAACAUUGCUAUCCAAAUCUCCCUACCUCCAAGACUCCAUCCCAGGCUUCUCUUCGGAGUACCACCAAACAUCUACACAUGCUUGGUAAGUGCCAGCAUUUCCCAGGGCUAUUCCCGGAUGCCUUGAACUCAAAUUGUCUAUUGCCUCAAUCGUC
RNAcentral lists this long non-coding RNA (280 nucleotides) under Mustela putorius furo (domestic ferret). Its description in RNAcentral is "lncRNA (ENSMPUG00000024853.1)". Lineage: Eukaryota; Metazoa; Chordata; Mammalia; Carnivora; Mustelidae. The record is from RNAcentral.